This 465-nucleotide ribosomal RNA is filed under the name Vreelandella stevensii. RNAcentral's name for it is "partial 16S ribosomal RNA". It matches the Rfam family "Bacterial small subunit ribosomal RNA", at positions 338 to 795 of the family's 1533-position model. The record is from RNAcentral. Lineage: Bacteria; Pseudomonadati; Pseudomonadota; Gammaproteobacteria; Oceanospirillales; Halomonadaceae.
CCUACGGGUGGCAGCAGUGGGGAAUAUUGGACAAUGGGGGGAACCCUGAUCCAGCCAUGCCGCGUGUGUGAAGAAGGCCCUCGGGUUGUAAAGCACUUUCAGUGAGGAAGAACGCCUGGUGGUUAAUACCCAUCAGGAAAGACAUCACUCACAGAAGAAGCACCGGCUAACUCCGUGCCAGCAGCCGCGGUAAUACGGAGGGUGCGAGCGUUAAUCGGAAUUACUGGGCGUAAAGCGCGCGUAGGUGGCUUGAUAAGCCGGUUGUGAAAGCCCCGGGCUCAACCUGGGAACGGCAUCCGGAACUGUCAAGCUAGAGUGCAGGAGAGGAAGGUAGAAUUCCCGGUGUAGCGGUGAAAUGCGUAGAGAUCGGGAGGAAUACCAGUGGCGAAGGCGGCCUUCUGGACUGACACUGACACUGAGGUGCGAAAGCGUGGGUAGCAAACAGGAUUAGAGACCCCGGUAGUC